AAGGAGCACUUCUAGCCGGGCUUCGGCCUGGUUCAGAGGCCAGAACAUCAGCGAAUGUCUGAUGCUGGUAGCUCAUGGGUGGAACGUUGAUUAUUCGGCACGGUCGGUAUGGGUGAGAGCGCUAGUACUGCUUCGGCGUGGAACGCGAAGCUCAUCAACUGACCGGGUCGGGCACGCUGUUGGGUAUCUGAGGGAAUGAACCCCCUCGAGAUGCCGACCCCGGUGAAGAUCCGCGUUGAGCGGGUUGUGACGGGUGGUUGGUCGUUGUUUGAGAACUGCACAGUGGACGCGAGCAUCUGU
This 300-nucleotide unclassified non-coding RNA is filed under the name Streptomyces neyagawaensis. The record is from RNAcentral. Lineage: Bacteria; Bacillati; Actinomycetota; Actinomycetes; Kitasatosporales; Streptomycetaceae.